This 1012-nucleotide long non-coding RNA is filed under the name Cricetulus griseus (Chinese hamster). RNAcentral's name for it is "lncRNA (ENSCGRG00015043411.1)". Lineage: Eukaryota; Metazoa; Chordata; Mammalia; Rodentia; Cricetidae. The record is from RNAcentral.
UUCUGUUCAAAGUAAUGCGACUACACUGUUCGCCUGCUCCCAUCCACUGGAAUAUGCACUUUUGUUUCAUGACCAGUAUUUUUACUCAGAGUCUUUUGAAGUACCACAAACAUGAGUUGUAGCAGGACACCACUCUUCUUCUAAGCUGCUCCGUGGGACAGAUGGAAGGACACCAGUGCAUGUCCACAUGUGCAGCUGAUGACCCUAGGAAGAUGGAGCCUCACCCCCACAGUUUGAAGGUUUAGUCUCCUCACCCAUGGGGUCUCACUCUCUCACAUUUGCCCUUUCUAGACACUUGGUGGAUAUUUCUUAAAACUAGAUGCCAGAGCCAGGGUGAAGGUGUGUGCCGAUAAUCCCGGGACUGUGGAGGCUUAGAUUGGAGAGUAGCCAUAGACUCAAGGCCAUCCUGGGUGAUAUAAGGAACAGUAAUCUAGCUUGGUUGCAGUGUGAGAUCUCUCUCUUUAAAAACUGAAAGUGAACAGCAGGACUAGUGUCGGUGUGUCCAUCGUGCACAUAGGUUCUUGUUCCUGGGUUCUUGCCCAGCACAAAAUCAAACCAGGUGGAGCUUGCCUGGUAUUGGGGUUGGAGACAAGAGGAUCAGGCAGUCAAGGUAUGUUCCAACACAAAGAUUGAAGCCAGUGUGGGAGGAAUGACACUAUUUUAAAUAAACAAUCCCUACUCUCAAAUCUUAAUGCCCAUAUCUAAGAAAACAAUGACAUGGCAUCCCAUCACAACCGCAUAUUCCUUGUGAAUCCGAAUACCGUUUAAAUGGAGAAAUGAAAACGGAGCAUCCAGAUGCGCAGUGAAUAUUUUGUGUGACUCACAUCAGGAAUUGGCCUGAGCAUUGCGUUCAUCCCUUGUGCACUGCACUGAGGAGCUGUUCGCUUGAGACUAGGCAGACGGCCCGGCACAAGGACAAAUGAAAAUCACCUUCAUCAAUUCUACUAACAUCCCCCCAAAAUUAUUGAGCUAUGUUUAUUCUGUUAGAAAUAAAAUGCAUUGUUCCAAGAAA